Clarias gariepinus (North African catfish) is the source of this 508-nucleotide long non-coding RNA. RefSeq lists it as uncharacterized. The transcript is spliced from 3 exons. The record is from RefSeq and is a predicted model, not a curated record. NCBI's taxonomy places the organism in Eukaryota, Metazoa, Chordata, Actinopteri, Siluriformes, Clariidae.
UGUGUUCUUAAUUGAUUGUCCUAUUGGGGGUUGGUCCAAUACUAUUUAAGCUGGGGGUAAGGUGGCCUGGGCUUACAGGUCCCGCCCCCUAGCUUUCAUUGUAUGUCGUCACACCCAGAACAGAACCAGGAAGUCAGAGGUGAUUGUGUUGCAGUUCAGCAAGCCUGAUUUAAGUCAGCGGGUACGGGCAUUCACCUGUUGUGGAAGUGAUUGUUCCUCCCAACAAACUGGCAGUCUUCCUGUAGAACUGAUUGAGCUUUCAGCUUCCUGGAACCUGGCUUAAAUGCCCUUCUGGUGAGACUUGGUGCCACAUUGCACGGAGCCGGGUGCUUAUGGCAGCGGUGGGAUUCUAGUUUUUCCUAUUUGAGUGGUUGGAAUACGAGCACGUGUGUGUGUGUGUGUGUGUGUGGUGAGUCACUUGUGUGAUUGCAAGUUGCUGUGCUGUGUAGGCCGAUUGCGCCCUUAGGCCCCGCCGCCCGGCCUCGGUUCCUGAACUUGAGGCUCUGGA